AUAAAGUGGAAUUACGUUUUUUCAAACCACGUCUACAGAAAGGAUGCCUCGGGUGCGUGUGAGGCCGCUUGUGGUGGUGGUGGUGACGGCGUGGUGUCUGUUGCACGUUGCAGCCCAAGAUCCCGACGCAGCGACCUCGGGCAUGAGCAACGAAGGAGGCCCCCGCCCACGGCGCCCUCGGCAGAAGGAGGGGCGGCG
Non-coding RNA from Penaeus vannamei (Pacific white shrimp), 198 nucleotides. The record is from RefSeq and is a predicted model, not a curated record. Lineage: Eukaryota; Metazoa; Arthropoda; Malacostraca; Decapoda; Penaeidae.